Molecule: long non-coding RNA, 5112 nt
Filed under: Equus asinus (donkey)
Lineage: Eukaryota; Metazoa; Chordata; Mammalia; Perissodactyla; Equidae
Description: lncRNA (ENSEASG00005036379.1)
Source: RNAcentral
CAGGAAACAGAAACUAAUGUUGAAGCCGGCACCAUGAGGAAUCCAUUCUGAUGGGGGUAGUGGUGUCCACAUCCAGUGCCUGCGAUGUACAGAGCUGCAGUUUCCACACUUCGCAGUCGUGACUUUUCUAUGUCAGGAAUUUGGGAGCUGCUUGGCUGGGCAGCAAUUCUGGCUCAAGGUCUUUCAUGCGAUUGCAGUCAAGAUGUCUACCAGGGCUACAGUCAUCUGAAGGCUUGGCUGGGGCUGGAGGAUCUGCUUCCAAGAAUUGGGUGGAUCAUCAGAUCCUGAGAACAGCAGACGGGGCGUGAGGCUGAGGACCAGGUAUGAAAGAGUUAUUGAUCCCACCAAAAUUCAAAUAUGAUUGUCAGGAAGUAUUCUAGUUGAAGAAAAAAAAUUAAACCAAAGCAAAGAAGAAUGAAAGAAGUUUAAAAAUCUCAAAAAGUCUUUUGUUAUCUCAUAGUAAAAGUUCUGAUGGUCUAAAUCAUGAAGACAAGGAAAAGAAUCAGGAUAUCCAAGAAAAUAUGAAACAUGCAAAUGCAGCAACAUUGAAAAAGAAAAUAAUGAGAAUGAGCAAAUUUUUAAAUAGGAACUUAAAAAUUGAUUUGAGGAAUAAAGAAAAACACAACUUAUAUGAAGAUCAGUGACAACCUGGUUAAUGAGAAUUGUCAACAUAAAGAGCAUUUAAGAUUAGGAACUGGGGUCAGCCCCAUGGCCAAGUGGUUAAGUUCGUGUGCUCCCCUUCAGCGGUGGGGGUUCGCCAGACUGGCUCCUGAGUGGGGACCUACAUACCGCUCAUCAGGCCGUGCUGUGGCAGCAUCCCACAUAGAAUAACAAGAAGGACCUACAACUAGGAUAUACAACUGUAUACUGGGGCUUUGGGGAGAAAAAAAAUAGAGGAAGAUUGGCAACAGAUGUUCGCUUAGGACCAAUCUUCCUCAAAAAAAAAAAAAAAAAGAUUAGGAACUAAACAAGAAAACAUGACCUUUCUUGAAAUCGAAUGACUCAUUUAUGAAAUCAGAAGCUUGAUAGAAGUUUUCUCAAAUUCUAUAAAAAUCCUAAACAUUUACGUGUUAUUAGCAAUAAAGCUUUGUGAAGCUACAAGAUUCCUGUCUAUAGAGCUAAUAGAAAAAACAAAUUCUGAUCAACCAUUUGAGAAAAAAGUGAAUUAUCUUUCUAUCUUUUCUAUAAGAACGAUAUUACAAAAUUAUCGUCAUAUGAAAAGCAAACCAAAAGUGUAUAUAGCCAAAAAUACAGUGAAAAAGGAAUAAUUCAGAAACGGGUCAGACUAAUCAAUAAAAAAUAGCCCAUUUUUCUGGAUUUUGUAAUAUUUGUGAUAUUUGUUGCUUUUUUAAAAAAGUAAACUUGUGGUUCUUUUUUAUUCUGAAUGAAUAUUGACUUUCACAUUGAAUAUUACAUUUGUAUUAUUUUUCUUAAGGGGGGGGGCCUCAAAACUAUACAUGCUUCAGUGUCCACCACCACGCAUCUAAGAGAUUUGAAUAGACAUGGAAAUUUGAAUACGUGUAAAUGAUAGCAAUUCUGUUUUAUAGAUGCAGGACUUAUUCUCUCAAAAGAGUAAAAAAAUGCUCCCUAGCACUAUGAUUCAUAAAAGCAUCAUUUAAAAAUUAAAAUUGUGUUCCUAAAUCUCAAAUUCUCUAAUUGUGAUUGUUUGAAAAGGUGCCUCCAAUCAAACAAUUAAAAAGUGCUUGAUUUUAAAAAAUGAGACAGCUGUUGGAAAUAUACAAAGAACUUGAGUUAAUAUUUUUUUCCUGAAUAAUUAUGUAUGUAGUUAAAAUAUAUAUGAAUUAAACUGCUCUGAUCAAGAGCUAUAUUCUCCAGCAUAGUCAUAGUCUCAAAUUCUAAUUUAAUUUUCAGUUUGAUAAAAACAGGACACAGGCCAAAUCAUAAAUAAGUGGCUUAAUUACCAUAAGUAUUUUUUUUAAAGGUGGCAGUUUGACAUUUUGCCUAAUAGCGAAAGCCCUGAUAGUACAACCAUAAAGAGGAGGUUAUUCAAACCAAUCUUACCCCCCCACCCUGCUCCUCUUUAGUUUGCACAAUGUUUUAAACGUACUUAGUGUUACUAAAUUGUAUAGUUAAAAUGGUCAAAAUGGUAAAUUUUAUGUUAUGUAUAUUAACCACAAAAAUUUACAAAUAGAAGUAAAUACUUCAUUUUUAAAAGCUUUAGAAGUUUUGCCAACUUUUUCGUUAUUUGGAAAAAACAUUCAUAAGUCAACAUCACAGAUGUUGCCAUGCUCAAUGUGCUUUAUGACAUAAAAUCCAUCAUCUUUUUGGUGGACAUAAACCAUAAUCGCUAGGCAUAAGCCAUAAUGGCUAGGACGGCCAGUCAAGGAAGUUGAAUUUGUGGCUGCUUCCUGCUUCCUUCCUACUUGUAGCCUUAGUAAAUGGCGGUCUUUGUCUGAACUUGGGCUCUGUAGUCCUGUUCUCCCCCAUGCUUUGUCUCCAUUACUUCUAUGGCACCGGUGUCUGCUUCUAUUGCUCUUACUAAUUGUAGCCCCUUUGUUGCAUUCACAUUCCCAAGAAGAGUCAUAUGAUCAGUGUUAGUCCUCAUCCAAAACAGUUUCUCCAACUGGCAGAGUUCUUAGAAAUUACUGGGCCAGGUCCUCUUUGGGUCAGGCAUUGAUCUAUGCAUGAUCCAAUAUGUUUUGGCCAGGUUUCCAGGGGCAUGUGACACAAAGCAUGGCAAUAAUUAUGCAAAAACUGGUUCAGGCUACUUAAUUUAGCAUCACACAACCACUUUUAAGGGGUUAAUGUAGUAUGGAUUGGAUACACAGAUACAUUGCAUGCAUUGAACCUUUGUAUCAGCCAAAGCGGAAUUAAGGCUAUCACCACAUACGUGCCUAGGCAGACUGCAUUGUGAAAUAAUGCACUAACUGAAGUAGUCUCUCAAAAUCCACUGGGCUGGAAGGCAGAGUGGUCUACUACAUUGGCUUCAGAUUAGUAACAAAACUAAAGGUUUAGAGAACAGGGGCAGAUUGUGGCCUGUUGCAUAUUUGUGAGAUCUCAUCUGUCAUAGUUACUGUAUCUUAUCCUUAAUAUAUUUCAUCACCAUCAAUUGAAGCCAAACUUUAUCUAAAAUGACCAGAUAAUAUCACCACUACCGAGAUCCUGGACCACAGCCAGCCUUCUGGCAUUUCAGUGAUUCGUGAAGCAACCCAACACCACUGUGAACAGGAUGUUGAAGCAGCUGUUGCAGUAAGCUGAAAGGGGGCAUUUGCAACCAUUGAGCAGAAGAAACACAUAGCAAAUUGUGCAAACCAAGUUCAAGUAAUGCAAUAAUGUCUUGAACAAAAUAUAAUCUUCUAGAGCUUACUUGUAUAAGCUAAGGCAGACUUGGAAAUAUAGUAGUCAUUUCUCAAUAAAAAAUUCUCCCUUGGUAAAACUUGAGAAUUUGUUAAUUUAUUUAUGUAUACAUUUCUGUCAAUUACCUAAUUUGACAUUCUAGCAUAUGUGAUUUUUCACUCUUGUUGAUAAUUAAAGAAGAAAAGAACACUUCAAAUAGUAGAAAAAGAACACUUUCUUUUGCAGUCAAGACUCAGAAAAGAUAAAGAAUGUUAAAAGGAAGAAAACUUAGUCCUUAGAAGAGGCAUGAGUGAUCCAGGUUACAUACAAAAAAAGGCUGAUGGAGACGAACUGAGGAUAUGGGGACACGGAAGCAGAGAUGAAGGGAUUGGCAUGCGGAUGUCAGCAUCUCCAAGCCGUCAAACCAGAAAGGCCUUAAGCAUUUAGAUAAAGAAACACAAAUGUCUUCUCAGUGUGAGAUGGCAAAUGCAUUAAACGAUGAAUGACACUGGCCUUUCUCUUCUGCCUUGUCUACUAAAAUAAAUCUGGCUUCGUCUAGUCAGUUUUUACUUCUCUACAAAAAAGGUCCUGUCAUGUUCGACUUAUCUUUGGGGCUAUCAUCAUGCACUAUUAGAAGAAGGAAUGUGCACAGAGAGAGAAGAAUUUGAGUUCUGGAGUGGUUUGAGGUCUAAACUUUCAUGAAGUUUUACAGAAGAAUUUUGGAGGGACAGGCACAGAAGUUUACUAUAUGAGAGAGAAGCUGGUGAGAGAGGGAAGGAGAAUUUUAAGCAUUGCAGUAGAUAUAUGCUUCCUUCAUGAACUUUAGGAAAUACUUACAAAGAGCUUAAACUAUUUUAAAAUGAUUUUCUUUGAUUGCAUUCUGACUGCAUUGCUGAUCUGAGCCUAGACUGUGCACUAUGACUCUAUAAACAGUACAUUAGCUUGUUGAUAAUCCUCGAUUUAAUCCAACUGCUGUGCAUAUAUCGUGUUGAAGCUGUAGUGAAGGGAGGGAGCCUUGCUAGUGAUUUAGAUAGUACAUCAAAAACAAUAUAUAAAACAAAUUAUUGCUUGCUUUCAUUAAUUGUCAUUGAUCUCAUCCUGAAUGAUAAUAGUUUCUAUUCUGCUUUGUGUAGUGAACAUAAAAGUAUAACAGCUUUGGGGGCCGGCAGAGUGCUAAAGUUUGUGCGCUCCGCUUCGGGGGCCCGGGGUUUUGUGGGUUCGGAUCCUGGGCACGGACAUGGCACCACUCAUCAGUCCAUGUUGAGGCAGCAUCCCACAUGCCACAAGUAGAAGGACCCACAACUAGAAUAUACAACUGUGUACCGGAGGGGCUUUGGGGAGGAAAAGGAAAAAUAAAAUCUAAAAGAAAAAAAGAGUAUAACAGUUUUAAUUGGUUAUUUCUGACUUUAGUUACCCUAUUUUAUUUUUCUCAACUACAAAUUCUCCUACACAGAAAUUUUCAAAGACAUGACCUCUAAGUUAGGGAGGUACAAUUAUAGUUUGGGAAAUAUUACUUUUCACAAAUUUUAUUGUUCACCUCAACCAUACAGUUUCAUGUCUCCCUCCACACAUAGAUGUCAGACGCACAGACACAUCAACAUAUAAAUAGCCAAACAUUAUACAGGUAUGCUCACCCACCCUAAUUCCACCCUCCCUCUCUUCCCCGUCUAUCUGUCUCUGUUUUUCUCUGUCUUACACGUGCACUUUAUUGGCACAGCUAAAAAGGUGGCAAUAAGAAAGAUUAAUACUCAUUUCCCUUGGCCAAAGCCACAGAGUUGAUGGCGGUUCUUUAAUCCUCACAGUUUUAGCCAUUAG